UCGACAAGCUUUGUUGGGUUCUUGCAUCCAUCUCUUCAUUAAUGUGAAGAAGAUAAAAACAGAUCUGAUGGCCCCCACCACAGGAGGCAUAAACAACAACCGUAGAAUAUAUUUAAGAAAUCUCAAAUCAAGAAUCGGUUGCUAUUACAUAAGGGCAAAGAAAGAAAGGGGAAAAGGCCAAAUUGCUUAUCAAGAUGAUGACUUGUCCUGUGAGCACUAAUGGGCUCUUCCCAAAAAGUCAAAUUCUCUACUGCUAGAUAUUAGGCCAGAAACGACCCUCCUCCAUUCCUCCUCCAACCCUCUUGAUGUUUCAGAAGAGAUCAUAAACAAACAGACAGACAAACAAAAAUCAUACCAAGAGCUUUGACUUCCUGACAGGAAGGUGAACUUCCUCAUUGAAUUGUUUUCAACAAGCAAAAUAAGGUGGUUUCCAGACAAGCUGUAUCAUAAUACUUCUAAGAGCAAAAACAAUACAAUCAGGCAGUAUGUUUUGUCUUCUUUCGUUUGUUUAAGGAAUCUCCAGCACCUUGCUCUUCUAAGAUUGCAGACAAAAGUCGAAUUCGGAUCAUUCACAAACCCUAUAUGCAGGAAGUUGAAAUUUACAUUAACAAUACAAGUAACAAACAAGUUAGCACAGGAAUCAGAACCAGAACCAACCCAAUGAUGCUUCACCAAAUUAUCCAGCAAGAGCAACAAACAGUAGCCCUGCUGGUGAUUGAGGGUUUUCAAUUUCUUUCCCCUCCAGGACUUCAAUUAUUAAUUUGGAGCAAAUUAAAAGAAAUAUACCAUAGCUGUGGAAGCGGUUGAUUGGAAGGUCGAGGGGAGCAGCGGUAGAAGUGACGUGCUUAUCCUUGACAGGGGAUUCAGGGAGCACGAGCUCGUCUGGUUUGGAACCAAACGACACUCCCAUUUUCAUGGCGGACCCCUUGUGAAGCGAUGAUGAUACACAUGACCCCAUUUUUAAUGUGUGCUCUUUUCCUUUGGGGUAAAGUUUCUGGAAAGUACUGAGCCAGAGAAAGAAAGGGUUUGAGCUCUGAUCGUCGGCGAUGAAAAGCCUGCUUUCUUUGAAUGUUUUUUCUGGAGCAGGUGGAUAGUGAAGAAGAAGAAGAAGAAGAAGAAGAAGAAGAAGAAGAAGAAGAAGAAGAAGAAGAAGAAGAAGAAGAAGAAGAAGAAGAAGAAGAAGAAGAAGAAGAAGAAGAAGAAGAAGAAGAAGAAGAAGAAGAAGAAGAAGAAGAAGAAGAAGAAGAAGAAGAAGAAGAAGAAGAAGAAGAAGAAGAAGAAGAAGAAGAAGAAGAAGAAGAAGAAGAAGAAGAAGAAGAAGAAGAAGAAGAAGAAGAAGAAGAAGAAGAAGAAGAAGAAGAAGAAGAAGAAGAAGAAGAAGAAGAAGAAGAAGAAGAAGAAGAAGAAGAAGAAGAAGAAGAAGAAGAAGAAGAAGAAGAAGAAGAAGAAGAAGAAGAAGAAGAAGAAGAAGAAGAAGAAGAAGAAGAAGAAGAAGAAGAAGAAGAAGAAGAAGAAGAAGAAGAAGAAGAAGAAGAAGAAGAAGAAGAAGAGGAGAAGGGAGGAGAAAAGUGUGACCAGAGUUGAGAGAUGCAGAGAAUUCAGAAGAAACGUUUUCAAAGGAGUUGAUAUUGUUGAGCUAUUAAAGCGGAAUCAAAUUAAUUUAUUUCAAAAUAAAUUGGACGUGGAAUUUUAAGAGACUAUUUUUAUAAUUUAUUUUGGUCACUCGAGUUUGGAUCUAGUUACACAUUGGUCACUCAAAUUUUU
RNAcentral lists this long non-coding RNA (1764 nucleotides) under Linum usitatissimum (flax). RNAcentral's name for it is "long non-coding RNA (LUSI_LNC004562)". Lineage: Eukaryota; Viridiplantae; Streptophyta; Magnoliopsida; Malpighiales; Linaceae. The record is from RNAcentral.